GAUGAACGCUGGCGGCGUGCCUAAUACAUGCAAGUCGAGCGAACAGACGCGGAGCUUGCUCCUCUGACGUUAGCGGCGGACGGGUGAGUAACACGUGGAUAACCUACCUAUAAGACUUGGAUAACUUCCGGAAACCGGAGCUAAUACCGGAUAAUAUAUUGAACCGCAUGGUUCAAUAGUGUAAGACGGUUUUGCUGUCACUUAUAGAUGGAUCCGCGCCGCAUUAGCUAGUUGGUAAGGUAACGGCUUACCAAGGCAACGAUGCGUAGCCGACCUGAGAGGGUGAUCGGCCACAAUAGAAGUGAGACACGGUCCAGACUCCUACGGGAGGCAGCAGUAGGGAAUCUUACGGAAUGGGCGAAAGAAUGACGGAGCAACGCCGCGUGAGGGAUGAAGGUCUUCGGAUCGUAAAACUCUGUUAUUAGGGAAGAACAAAUGUGUAAGUAACUAUGCACGUCUUGACGGUACCUAAUCAGAAAGCCACGGCUAACUACGUG
This 497-nucleotide ribosomal RNA is filed under the name uncultured bacterium. Its description in RNAcentral is "partial 16S ribosomal RNA". It matches the Rfam family "Bacterial small subunit ribosomal RNA", at positions 28 to 507 of the family's 1533-position model. The record is from RNAcentral.